GAUGGACGCUGACAGAAUGCUUAACACAUGCAAGUCAACUUGAAUUUGGGUUUUUAACUUAGGUUUGGGUGGCGGACGGGUGAGUAACGCGUAAAGAACUUGCCUCACAGCUAGGGACAACAUUUGGAAACGAAUGCUAAUACCUAAUAUUAUGAUAAUAGGGCAUCCUAUAAUUAUGAAAGCUAUAAGCGCUGUGAGAGAGCUUUGCGUCCCAUUAGCUAGUUGGAGAGGUAACGGCUCACCAAGGCGAUGAUGGGUAGCCGGCCUGAGAGGGUGAUCGGCCACAAGGGGACUGAGACACGGCCCUUACUCCUACGGGAGGCAGCAGUGGGGAAUAUUGGACAAUGGACCGAGAGUCUGAUCCAGCAAUUCUGUGUGCACGAUGAAGUUUUUCGGAAUGUAAAGUGCUUUCAGUUGGGAAGAAACAAAUGACGGUACCAACAGAAGAAGUGACGGCUAAAUACGUG
Molecule: ribosomal RNA, 467 nt
Filed under: uncultured bacterium
Lineage: Bacteria
Description: partial 16S ribosomal RNA
Rfam family: Bacterial small subunit ribosomal RNA
Source: RNAcentral